GUACUUGCUUUGGCAGCACAUACACUAAAACUGGAAUGAUACAGAGAUUAGCAUGGCUCUUGUGCAAGGAUGACACAUAAAUUUGUGAAGUGUUCCAUAUUUAA
Pongo abelii (Sumatran orangutan) is the source of this 104-nucleotide small nuclear RNA. The record is from Ensembl. Lineage: Eukaryota; Metazoa; Chordata; Mammalia; Primates; Hominidae.